AAAUUGAAUUGAACCAAAUUCAAUUGAGUGAAUAGAAUAAAAAAAAAAAUAUUAGAAUCGAAUCGAUCUAGGCUUCAAUGAAUCAAAUUGAUUCCUGGAAAUUAUUGGAGAUAUCCAGCCUUAAUACGGAUUCAUUGAUGUGUCUUUACAGAAUGUAACCCUGCAGCUGCUUGAAGGCGCAGAUCUCAAAUCCCAGAUGACCCCAGUUUAAUGAAGAAGAAGCAAGAGAGCAUGAAGACAGACAAAAAAAUCCCAAGAAAGUGUCUACAAAUAGACAAAGAGAUGUUAAAGAGAGAGAAACAGUAGAAACUGUGAAUGUAGCUGAGUUAAGGUCUAACAAAGUCAGUGAGUCUGAUGGUAUUCAGGAAGCUACCACCACACAGAACAAGACUGAAGUGUCUCCUGAUUUUCAUGCAAGCACUAAGGUAGAACCAGCAGAACCAGAGGUGGCAGCAGAGUCCAACGAGGAGCCAGAGCAGAACUCUGCUGCUGACUCCACCACAGAACCAGUGGAGCCGGAUGACGGGCCAGAAGAGGCUCCACAGGUUGACAAGCAGGAAAACAAUUCUUUAGCUGGAGUUGAGGCUGGAGCAGAAAGUCCAGGAGAAACAAAGACUUCUCAGAGAACUUUGGAACCUCCAGUCAACCCUCCUCCACCACCAUCUGCUCUCCAGAACAGCUCCACAGACCACACCGAUGUUGCUGAGGGAGUCCAUGAACACGAUGAAGAGCGGGAACUUAAAGCAGACAGAACUUCUGCCAAACCCACGGCUGAAGAGGAGGAGGAGGAGGAAAUGAGCUUGAAAGGAUGUCCCCCACCUGCUCCCUUAUUUGGAGACGAAGAAGAUGAUGAUCUGGACUGGCUAAAUUGACAAAAAGAAGCGUCUAUGUUUGAUUUUAUCUUCUUUUUUACAGAAAAAGGCUUUAACCCAGUUUGCCUUUUAGGUCAGGUGAUGAGGGAUGAGGCCAGUUCAAGUGAAGGACUGGCAGUGGUUCCAUCAUUCAGCCACAUCAGACAGUUAAAGGCAGGAUUUACAUAAUCAAAUACCUUUACUUACAAUUUGAUUUAAUGUUGAGAGUUGAGCUCAAAUUAAAUUUGGAGUCUUAAGAUUCCAUAUUUUUGUAAAUGAAUCUGUAGCAGGUUGUUAAAUCAGCAGGAAUAAUGUUGCCUUCAAAUCACACAUUUUUAGAAAAAAAAUUGUUCACAUUUCCAACAUGAAUCUCUUUCAAAAUAAUUUAAAAAUGUGUAUAAGUGUAGAAGCUGUUUUUUGUGUUCUUAUUUCUAAAACUUUACUACUUGUGAUAAGUAUUUUCCUCUGACUUAUCAUUAAAAUAUUUUAAUUAAAAGUACGAAACACAUCCUCUGUCCUCUCUUUGUGUGAUGUUCUACCUAAUCUAUCUGGAAACACCUUGAAGGUGCAGCUUGGACUCAUCCUCAGAGAAGAAUCCGGGGUCAGAGGUUGUCUGGUGUUGGGAACCGGAGGUGAUCAGGCUGCAGUUUGUGUUUGAACAACCUGAGGCUGUUCCAGCAAUAAAUGUCUUCUAUUAAUAUAAUAGCAACCUUCUGAUCCUAAAAGCUUGAAGGCAAGUUUAUUAGUAUAGCAGAUUUCAUGUACAGAGACAAUUA
Long non-coding RNA from Oryzias javanicus (javanese ricefish), 1627 nucleotides. The record is from Ensembl. Lineage: Eukaryota; Metazoa; Chordata; Actinopteri; Beloniformes; Adrianichthyidae.